UACGUAGGGUGCAAGCGUUGUCCGGAAUUAUUGGGCGUAAAGGGCUCGUAGGCGGUUUGUCGCGUCGGGUGGGAAAACUCAGGGCUUAACCCUGAGCCUGCUUCCGAUACGGGCAGACUAGAGGUAUGCAGGGGAGAAUGGAAUUCCUGGUGUAGCGGUGAAAUGCGCAGAUAUCAGGAGGAACACCGGUGGCGAAGGCGGUUCUCUGGGCAUUACCUGACGCUGAGGAGCGAAAGUGUGGGGAGCGAACAGG
RNAcentral lists this ribosomal RNA (253 nucleotides) under uncultured bacterium. RNAcentral describes it as "partial 16S ribosomal RNA". It matches the Rfam family "Bacterial small subunit ribosomal RNA", at positions 524 to 776 of the family's 1533-position model. The record is from RNAcentral.